This 253-nucleotide ribosomal RNA is filed under the name uncultured bacterium. RNAcentral describes it as "partial 16S ribosomal RNA". It matches the Rfam family "Bacterial small subunit ribosomal RNA", at positions 524 to 776 of the family's 1533-position model. The record is from RNAcentral.
UACAUGUGGGGCAAGCGUUGUUCGGAAUUACUGGGCAUAAAGGGUGCGUAGGCGGCUUGUUAAGUCAGGGGUGAAAGUUUUCGGCCCAACCGGAAAAUUGCCUUCGAUACUGUAGAGCUUGAGACCGGAAGAGGUAAGUGGAACUGCGAGUGUAGAGGUGAAAUUCGUAGAUAUUCGCAAGAACACCAGUGGCGAAGGCGGCUUACUGGUCCGGUUCUGACGCUGAGGCGCGAAAGCGUGGGGAGCAAACAGG